RNAcentral lists this ribosomal RNA (381 nucleotides) under Chlorarachnion reptans. Its description in RNAcentral is "partial Bacterial large subunit ribosomal RNA". It matches the Rfam family "Bacterial large subunit ribosomal RNA", at positions 1995 to 2375 of the family's 2925-position model. The record is from RNAcentral. Lineage: Eukaryota; Cercozoa; Chlorarachniophyceae.
AAUGGAGCAAUGAUGGCCACACCGUCUCCUCCAGAGACUCAGCGAAGUUGAAAUGUUUGUGAUGAUGCAAUCUCCCCGCGGAAAGACGGAAAGACCCCAUGAACCUUUACUGUAGCUUUACAUUGGACUUUGAACAGAUCUGUGUAGGAUAGGUGGGAGGCUUUGAAGUAAGGUCGCUAGAUCUUAUGGAGCCGACGUUGAAAUACCACCCUGGUGUGUUUGAGGUUCUAACCUUGGCCCGUGAUCCGGGUUGGGGACAGUGUAUGGUGGGCAGUUUGACUGGGGCGGUCUCCUCCCAAAGCGUAACGGAGGAGUUCGAAGGUACGCUAGUUACGGUCGGAAAUCGUGACGAUAGUGCAUUGGCAUAAGCGUGCGUGACUG